AUACGUAGGUGGCGAGCGUUGUCCGGAUUUACUGGGCGUAAAGGGAGCGUUAGGCGGAUUUUUAAGUGAGAUGUGAAAUACUCGGGCUUAACCUGAGUGCUGCAUUUCAAACUGGAAGUCUAGAGUGCAGGAGAGGAGAAGGGAAUUCCUAGUGUAGCGGUGAAAUGCGUAGAGAUUAGGAAGAACACCAGUGGCGAAGGCGCUUCUCUGGACUGUAACUGACGCUGAGGCUCGAAAGUGUGGGGAGC
This 248-nucleotide ribosomal RNA is filed under the name uncultured bacterium. RNAcentral's name for it is "partial 16S ribosomal RNA". It matches the Rfam family "Bacterial small subunit ribosomal RNA", at positions 523 to 769 of the family's 1533-position model. The record is from RNAcentral.